This 520-nucleotide ribosomal RNA is filed under the name uncultured bacterium. RNAcentral's name for it is "partial 16S ribosomal RNA". It matches the Rfam family "Bacterial small subunit ribosomal RNA", at positions 28 to 523 of the family's 1533-position model. The record is from RNAcentral.
GACGAACGCUGGCGGCGUGCUUAACACAUGCAAGUCGAACGGAGAAUUUUAUUUCGGUAGAAUUCUUAGUGGCGAACGGGUGAGUAACGCGUAGACAACCUGCCUCUUAGAUGGGGACAACAUCGCGAAAGCGGUGCUAAUACCGAAUGAAGUGGAGCUUCCGCAUGGAAGCAUCACCAAAGGUGGCCUCUAUUUAUAAGCUACCACUGAGAGAUGGGUCUGCGUCUGAUUAGCUAGUUGGCGGGGUAAUGGCCCACCAAGGCGACGAUCAGUAGCCGGUCUGAGAGGAUGAACGGCCACAUUGGGACAGAGACACGGCCCAAACUCCUACGGGAGGCAGCAGGGGGGAAUCUUCCGCAAUGGACGAAAGUCUGACGGAGCAACGCCGCGUGAGUGAAGAAGGUUUUCGGAUCGUAAAGCUCUGUUGUUUGAGACGAAUGUGCAGACUUUGAAUAAGGGUUUGUAAUGACGGUAUUAAACGAGAAAGCCACGGCUAACUACGUGCCAGCAGCCGCAGUAA